This 167-nucleotide long non-coding RNA is filed under the name Vulpes vulpes (red fox). Its description in RNAcentral is "lncRNA (ENSVVUG00000000777.1)". The record is from RNAcentral. Lineage: Eukaryota; Metazoa; Chordata; Mammalia; Carnivora; Canidae.
UGUGCCUGGGGUCAGGGCUGGGGCUGACGGAGCAUCUCUCAGAAUCCAUGCUGUCAGGCCCACGCCCAGCACCUGCUGAGCCCAGGAGGGGAGGAAGUGGUGUGCAGUCCCACCCGCCCACCAACGCCCAGCCCAUGGUGACAUGGGAGAUGUUCUCUUCAACAUGA